UACGUAGGGUGCGAGCGUUGUCCGGAAUUAUUGGGCGUAAAGAGCUCGUAGGCGGCCUGUCGCGUCGGAUGUGAAAGCCCGGGGCUUAACCCCGGGUCUGCAUUCGAUACGGGCAGGCUAGAGUGUGGUAGGGGAGAUCGGAAUUCCUGGUGUAGCGGUGAAAUGCGCAGAUAUCAGGAAGAACACCCGUGGCUAAGGCGGCUCUCUAGUACGGUACUGACGCUGAGACGCGAAAGCGUGGGGAGCGAACAGG
Molecule: ribosomal RNA, 253 nt
Filed under: uncultured bacterium
Lineage: Bacteria
Description: partial 16S ribosomal RNA
Rfam family: Bacterial small subunit ribosomal RNA
Source: RNAcentral